UGACCACUUUCCACAGGAGAGUUAAGGCCAUACGGACAGCCGGGUCAAAUGCCGA
RNAcentral lists this small RNA (55 nucleotides) under Paenibacillus phocaeensis. RNAcentral's name for it is "Streptococcus sRNA SpF59 (ldcC RNA)". It matches the Rfam family "Streptococcus sRNA SpF59 (ldcC RNA)". The record is from RNAcentral. Lineage: Bacteria; Bacillati; Bacillota; Bacilli; Caryophanales; Paenibacillaceae.